UUCGACGGAGAGUUUGAUCCUGGCUCAGGACGAACGCUGGCGGCGGGCCUAACACAUGCAAGUCGAACGCACUCGACCUUCGGGUCACAUGAGUGAGUGGCGAACGGGUGAGUAACACGU
Molecule: ribosomal RNA, 120 nt
Filed under: Acidimicrobiaceae bacterium
Lineage: Bacteria; Bacillati; Actinomycetota; Acidimicrobiia; Acidimicrobiales; Acidimicrobiaceae
Description: partial 16S ribosomal RNA
Rfam family: Bacterial small subunit ribosomal RNA
Source: RNAcentral